Molecule: ribosomal RNA, 495 nt
Filed under: uncultured bacterium
Lineage: Bacteria
Description: partial 16S ribosomal RNA
Rfam family: Bacterial small subunit ribosomal RNA
Source: RNAcentral
AUGAACGCUGGCGGCGUGCCUAAUACAUGCAAGUCGAGCGAACAGACGAGGAGCUUGCUCCUCUGACGUUAGCGGCGGACGGGUGAGUAACACGUGGAUAACCUACCUAUAAGACUGGGAUAACUUCGGGAAACCGGAGCUAAUACCGGAUAAUAUAUUGAACCGCAUGGUUCAAUAGUGAAAGACGGUUUUGCUGUCACUUAUAGAUGGAUCCGCGCCGCAUUAGCUAGUUGGUAAGGUAACGGCUUACCAAGGCAACGAUGCGUAGCCGACCUGAGAGGGUGAGCGGCCACACUGGAACUGAGACACGGUCCAGACUCCUACGGGAGGCAGCAGUAGGGAAUCUUCCGCAAUGGGCGAAAGCUUGACGGAGCAACGCCGCGUGAGUGAUGAAGGUCUUCGGAUCGUAAAACUCUGUUAUUAGGGAAGAACAAAUGUGUAAGUAACUAUGCACGUCUUGACGGUACCUAAUCAGAAAGCCACGGCUAACUACGU